ACUCAGAGAGCCCUCUACAGGGAUGUCAUGCAGGAGAACUAUGAGACGGUGACCUCACUGGUAGGGUUUCCAGUUUCCAAACCUGAUGUGAUCUCCCAGCUGGAACGAGGGGAAGAACCGUGGGUCCCAGACAUCCGGGGCUCUGAGAAAGAAGUGCUCCCGAGAGCUGCCUUCGCAGGCACAGGGAGUGACCUAUGUCUGGAUUCUCUCUGUCUCCCAUCCGGCGAUGGGCUGGUGAG
Molecule: long non-coding RNA, 239 nt
Organism: Mauremys mutica (yellowpond turtle)
Lineage: Eukaryota; Metazoa; Chordata; Testudines; Geoemydidae
Exons: 3
Source: RefSeq, a predicted model, not a curated record